UACGAAGGGUGCAAGCGUUACUCGGAAUUACUGGGCGUAAAGCGUGCGUAGGUGGUGAGUUAAGUCUGUCGUGAAAGCCCCCGGGCUCAACCUGGGAAUGGCGAUGGAUACUGGCUCGCUAGAGUGCGGUAGAGGAGAGUGGAAUUCCCGGUGUAGCAGUGAAAUGCGUAGAGAUCGGGAGGAACAUCAGUUGCGAAGGCGGCUCUCUGGACCAGCACUGACACUGAGGCACGAAAGCGUGGGGAGCGAACAGG
RNAcentral lists this ribosomal RNA (254 nucleotides) under uncultured bacterium. RNAcentral's name for it is "partial 16S ribosomal RNA". It matches the Rfam family "Bacterial small subunit ribosomal RNA", at positions 524 to 776 of the family's 1533-position model. The record is from RNAcentral.